UGCAGCGACGCCGCGUGCGGGAUGAAGGCCUUCGGGUUGUAAACCGCUUUYAGKAGGGACGAAAAUGACGGUACCUCCAGAAGAAGCCCCGGCCAACUACGUGCCAGCAGCCGCGGUAACACGUAGGGGGCGAGCGUUGUCCGGAUUUAUUGGGCGUAAAGGGCUCGUAGGCGGUUCAGCAAGUCAACCGUGAAAACCCGGGGCUCAACCCCGGGACGCCGGUCGAAACUGCUGUGACUAGGGUCCGGUAGAGGUGAGUGGAAUUCUCGGUGUAGCGGUGAAAUGCGCAGAUAUCGAGAGGAACACCAGUAGCGAAGGCGGCUCACUGGGCCGGUACCGACGCUGAGGAGCGAAAGCGUGGGGAGCAAACAGGAUUAGAUACCCUGGUAGUCCACGCCGUAAACGUUGAACACUAGGUGUGGCGGACUUAUCCACGUCUGCUGUGCCGCAGCUAACGCAUUAAGUGUUCCGCCUGGGGAGUACGGCCGCAAGGCUAAAACUCAAAGGAAUAGACGGGGACCCACACAAGCGGUGGAGCAUGGGGUUUAAUUCGAUGAUAAGCGGAGCACCUCACCCAGACUUGACAUCCUGAGAACGUUCUAGAAAUAGAACCGUGCCGUAAGGAACUCAGUGACAGGUGGUGCACGGUCGUCGUCAGCUCGUGCCUUGAGGUGUACUGUUAAGUCAGCAAACGAGCGCAACCCACAUCCUAUGUUGCUU
This 720-nucleotide ribosomal RNA is filed under the name uncultured bacterium. RNAcentral's name for it is "bacterial SSU rRNA". It matches the Rfam family "Bacterial small subunit ribosomal RNA", at positions 387 to 1120 of the family's 1533-position model. The record is from RNAcentral.